UAGACUGGGAUAACUUCGGAAACCGGAGCUAAUACCGGAUAAUACUUUUGAACACAUGUUCGAAAGUUGAAAGAUGGUUUCGGCUAUCACUAUAGGAUGGACCCGCGGCGCAUUAGCUAGUUGGUGGGGUAAUGGCUCACCAAGGCAACGAUGCGUAGCCGACCUGAGAGGGUGAUCGGCCACACUGGGACUGAGACACGGCCCAGACUCCUACGGGAGGCAGCAGUAGGGAAUCUUCCACAAUGGACGAAAGUCUGAUGGAGCAACGCCGCGUGAGUGAAGAAGGAUUUCGGUUCGUAAAACUCUGUUGCAAGGGAAGAACAAGUAGCGUAGUAACUGGCGCUACCUUGACGGUACCUUGUUAGAAAGCCACGGCUAACUACGUGCCAGCAGCGGC
RNAcentral lists this ribosomal RNA (397 nucleotides) under uncultured bacterium. RNAcentral's name for it is "bacterial SSU rRNA". It matches the Rfam family "Bacterial small subunit ribosomal RNA", at positions 134 to 518 of the family's 1533-position model. The record is from RNAcentral.